Molecule: transfer RNA, 71 nt
Filed under: Marmota monax (woodchuck)
Lineage: Eukaryota; Metazoa; Chordata; Mammalia; Rodentia; Sciuridae
Rfam family: tRNA
About the family: Transfer RNA (tRNA) molecules are approximately 80 nucleotides in length.
Source: Rfam by way of RNAcentral
GUGGUUGUGGCUCAGUGGUAGAGCGUAGGCCUACCACGUGUGAGGCACUGGGAUCGGUCCCCAGCACCACA